CCGAGAAUCUCCCGAACCCUAGAUGGAGUACUUUCUGACAGAAUUUCUGAGAACUGAUGAAAGAGGUAGUUCGUUGGAAUCAUGCUUGACUGGUUCUUCUUCAUUUUGUUUCACCUUAACCUGGUCUUGCAGAUGAAUCUCUUAU
Molecule: long non-coding RNA, 145 nt
Organism: Juglans microcarpa x Juglans regia
Lineage: Eukaryota; Viridiplantae; Streptophyta; Magnoliopsida; Fagales; Juglandaceae
Exons: 3
Source: RefSeq, a predicted model, not a curated record